This 1733-nucleotide long non-coding RNA is filed under the name Mytilus galloprovincialis (Mediterranean mussel). The record is from RNAcentral. Lineage: Eukaryota; Metazoa; Mollusca; Bivalvia; Mytilida; Mytilidae.
CCCCCUUUGAUGAAAAUAUGAUUAAAGUUUGAAAUAAGGUAAAAACAAAUUGUACUAUGUUUGUGUUACAAAUAACAUAUAGUGUUUGUAUGUAUUAAUUCAGUGUAAAAAAAUAAAUUGUUUUGAUUUUCCUUCAUUUUGCUGUUAUUUUGAGGCCAUUUUAAGAAAACCUGGAUUUCCAAGAUGGACGCCAUGAGACAGCCAUUUUAAAUUUUUGAGAAAAAAUAAUUUCUCAUUUGAAAGCUUAUCUAUGCACCAACUUACUGUCCAAGUUAUAUAAAAUUUGCCCAACUUUGCUUCUGGACCAUUUUGCAUGGUUUUCUCUGAGAUCAGCUCUUAAUUUAAGCACAAGUGAAAACAAUUCCUAAAUAUAAAUUUUUGCUUCAUUUGGUAACAUGGAUGUGCAAAAUCACUGAUGGCUAACAAGGUUAAUUCCCUUAUUGGUUAGAUAAUGAAGUAUAGUCUACUGGACCCUGUAGACAUCCUACUAAAUGUAUUGAUAUAUUAAAUGUUUUUUUUAUAUCUCAAUCAAUAUUUGUACAUGCCUCACACAAAAAGGUGCAAGCAGAGUUGCAUGUACUGGACAGAGUCAGCUAUCAACUUUCUUUUUAUAACAGACCCAUUUCACAAUCAAUAUUUGUACAUGCCUCACACAUAAAGGUGCCAGCAGAGCAUGUACAUGGCAGCAGAGUUGCAUGUACUGGACAUUGUCAGCUAUCAAGUAUUUUUAUAACAAACCCACAGAACUGGUAUCCAGGAAAUUGAAAUGAAUCAACAAAACAUUUAUAUUGUAGAAAUGUAUUUUCCCGCGUUUCGGAGUAUAGGGGGAAAAUGUUGUCUAAAAGGAAUGUUUUAUAAGAACAGUAUGUUUUUGGCGGGUUUUGUUAUGUGUAGUUCUACACGUGGUUACGUGGACCAAUCAUUUGGAUUGUGUCAAUAAGUAUUAUUAUGUUAAUAAGGUGAAAGCGGGUUUUUAAUUUUCUUGUGUUUGAAAAUCAUUCUAGCCACAGACGUUCAACACUAUAAAACUUAUAUUGUAUAUUAUUUUGCUGUUUUUUCUUGUGAUGGAGUUUGGCAUCAAUGUCCCGAGGCGUGCCUUGCACUUGCUCCGAACACAGGUUUCCAUAUCAAUUUCUUUAGUAAAGUUUUUGAUGGUUUUUCCUGGGCGGUGAGGUUACGUUAAAGACGGAUAUAUACAUAAAUACAUACAUAGAGAUAUGGGCUCUUAUUGAUUCAGACUAAACUUGUUUCAGAUGUUUAUUCUUUCUGUGUACUCAUUUGGAAUGUAUUUGUAUUUCAUAUAUGUCAUGAUUUAUAAUAUAAAUAUACAUUAAACGCCGGCUCUGUUAGUCUGCACGGCUAAAUGCAUUGCUUUGUGUUUGUUAUUAUUGUAGUGUAGUUAAGACUAAUAUAUUUCUCAUUAUACCUUACUUAUGAUGCAGAUUCAAAGAUGUACUACAGUGACAUAACACUACAAGUUACAAUAUAUUUUGUAUUUUUUGUCAUGAUGCAGAUUUUUGUCAUGUUAUUUUAAACAUGGUGCAUUACUUUUUUAGAGUUUUCUUUAUGUGUUAUGACGUAUGCUAUAUUUGCUAAACUUGUAUGCAUGUUUAUUAUGUUGAUGAAAAUAAAAUAUGAUGUCUAGGUUAUCAGCAAUAUGAAUAUAUUGUUUAUUUUGUUUAAGCCUAUAAAUUAUUUUGAAAGAUUCUUAAAUAAAAUGUAUUUGAAAACCG